AACGAACGCUGGCGGCAUGCCUAACACAUGCAAGUCGAACGAGACCUUCGGGUCUAGUGGCGCACGGGUGCGUAACGCGUGGGAACCUGCCCUUAGGUUCGGAAUAACUCCCCGAAAGGGGUGCUAAUACCGGAUAAUGUCUUCGGACCAAAGAUUUAUCGCCUUUGGAUGGGCCCGCGUGGGAUUAGCUAGUUGGUAGGGUAAAAGCCUACCAAGGCGACGAUCCAUAGCUGGUCUGAGAGGAUGAUCAGCCACACUGGGACUGAGACACGGCCCAGACUCCUACGGGAGGCAGCAGUGGGGAAUAUUGGACAAUGGGCGAAAGCCUGAUCCAGCAAUGCCGCGUGAGUGAUGAAGGCCUUAGGGUUGUAAAGCUCUUUUACCCGGGACGAUAAUGACGGUACCGGGAGAAUAAGCUCCGGCUAACUCCGUG
This 433-nucleotide ribosomal RNA is filed under the name uncultured bacterium. RNAcentral describes it as "partial 16S ribosomal RNA". It matches the Rfam family "Bacterial small subunit ribosomal RNA", at positions 29 to 507 of the family's 1533-position model. The record is from RNAcentral.